GAUGAACGCUGGCGGCGUGCCUAAUACAUGCAAGUCGAGCGAACAGAUGAGGAGCUUGCUCCUCUGACGUUAGCGGCGGACGGGUGAGUAACACGUGGAUAACCUACCUAUAAGACUGGGAUAACUUCGGGAAACCGGAGCUAAUACCGGAUAAUAUAUUGAACCGCAUGGUUCAAUAGUGAAAGACGGUUUUGCUGUCACUUAUAGAUGGAUCCGCGCCGGAUUAGCUAGUUGUUAAGGUAACGGCUUACCAAGGCAACGAUGCGUAGCCGACCUGAGAGGGUGAUCGGCCACACUGGAACUGAGACACGGUCCAGACUCCUACGGGAGGCAGCAGUAGGGAAUCUUCCGCAAUGGGCGAAAGCCUGACGGAGCAACGCCGCGUGAGUGAUGAAGGUCUUCGGAUCGUAAAACUCUGUUAUGAGGGAAGAACAAAUGUGUAAGUAACUAUGCACGUCUUGACGGUACCUAAUCAGAAAGCAACGGCUAACUACGUG
This 497-nucleotide ribosomal RNA is filed under the name uncultured bacterium. Its description in RNAcentral is "partial 16S ribosomal RNA". It matches the Rfam family "Bacterial small subunit ribosomal RNA", at positions 28 to 507 of the family's 1533-position model. The record is from RNAcentral.